GAGUUUGAUCAUGGCUCAGAUUGAACGCUGGCGGCAUGCCUUACACAUGCAAGUCGAACGGCAGCACGGGAGCUUGCCCCUGGUGGCGAGUGGCGAACGGGUGAGUAAUGCAUCGGAACGUAUCCUGGAGUGGGGGAUAACGUAGCGAAAGUUACGCUAAUACCGCAUAUUCUGUGAGCAGGAAAGCGGGGGGACCUUCGGGGCCUCGCGCUCUUGGAGCGGCCGAUGUCGGAUUAGCUAGUUGGUGAGGUAAAGGCUCACCAAGGCGACGAUCCGUAGCAGGUCUGAGAGGAUGAUCUGCCACACUGGAACUGAGACACGGUCCAGACUCCUACGGGAGGCAGCAGUGGGGAAUUUUGGACAAUGGGGGCAACCCUGAUCCAGCCAUGCCGCGUGAGUGAAGAAGGCC
This 409-nucleotide ribosomal RNA is filed under the name bacterium enrichment culture clone ALO1_GLFRUDD03G6JUD. RNAcentral's name for it is "bacterial SSU rRNA". It matches the Rfam family "Bacterial small subunit ribosomal RNA", at positions 9 to 416 of the family's 1533-position model. The record is from RNAcentral.